RNAcentral lists this small RNA (68 nucleotides) under Arabidopsis thaliana (thale cress). RNAcentral describes it as "ATSL067240". Lineage: Eukaryota; Viridiplantae; Streptophyta; Magnoliopsida; Brassicales; Brassicaceae. The record is from RNAcentral.
AAAUUAAUUUAGUGAAACGAUUGACAACGCACCCUCUUAUGCAAGUAUAAUAUAUAAUAGAUAAAAAA